ACGGAAGGCAGCAGUGGGGAAUAUUGCACAAUGGGGGAAACCCUGAUGCAGCGACGCCGCGUGAGUGAGGAAGUAUUUCGGUAUGUAAAGCUCUAUCAGCAGGAAAGAAAAUGACGGUACCUGACUAAGAAGCCCCGGCUAACUACGUGCCAGCAGCCGCGGUAAUACGUAGGGGGCAAGCGUUAUCCGGAUUUACUGGGUGUAAAGGGAGCGUAGACGGCUUUGCAAGUCUGAAGUGAAAGCCCGGGGCUCAACCCCGGAACUGCUUUGGAAACUGUAGAGCUAGAGUGCAGGAGAGGUAAGUGGAAUUCCUAGUGUAGCGGUGAAAUGCGUAGAUAUUAGGAGGAACACCAGUGGCGAAGGCGGCUUACUGGACUGUAACUGACGUUGAGGCUCGAAGGCGUGGGGAGCAAACAGGAUUAGAUACCCUGGUA
Molecule: ribosomal RNA, 434 nt
Filed under: uncultured Lachnospiraceae bacterium
Lineage: Bacteria; Bacillati; Bacillota; Clostridia; Lachnospirales; Lachnospiraceae
Description: partial 16S ribosomal RNA
Rfam family: Bacterial small subunit ribosomal RNA
Source: RNAcentral